RNAcentral lists this small RNA (278 nucleotides) under Vigna angularis var. angularis. RNAcentral describes it as "Non-protein coding transcript". Lineage: Eukaryota; Viridiplantae; Streptophyta; Magnoliopsida; Fabales; Fabaceae. The record is from RNAcentral.
CUGCACUUGACUGUCCAAUAUGUAUGUCUGCAUUUGAAGAACCGAUGUCUACGAGGUGUGGUCAUAUCUUUUGUAGGUGUUGCAUUAACACUGCAAUAGCUGCACAGGGUAAAUGCCCUACCUGCAGAAAGAAGGUUACAAAGAAUCAACUCAUAAGGGUGUUUCUUCCAUCUCUUAGUUAAAGGAGAUCUCUGUGGCCAAGUCUAAUUGAGGAGAAUCACAAAUACAAAAAUGUAAUCUCCAGAUUUUUUAGUGGCUGCUUUAUAUUUGUUGUGGCA